RNAcentral lists this ribosomal RNA (653 nucleotides) under uncultured bacterium. RNAcentral's name for it is "partial 16S ribosomal RNA". It matches the Rfam family "Bacterial small subunit ribosomal RNA", at positions 56 to 707 of the family's 1533-position model. The record is from RNAcentral.
UGCAGUCGAACGGCAGCGCGGGGCAACCUGGCGGCGAGUGGCGAACGGGUGAGUAAUAUAUCGGAACGUACCYRRRAGUGGGGGAUAACGUAGCGAAAGUUACGCUAAUACCGCAUACGAUCUAHGGAUGAAAGUGGGGGACCKYMRGGCCUYAUGCUYSYRGAGCGGCCGAUAUCUGAUUAGCUAGUUGGUAGGGUAAAGGCCUACCAAGGCUACGAUCAGUAGCUGGUCUGAGAGGACGACCAGCCACACUGGRACUGAGACACGGYCCAGACUCCUACGGGAGGYAGCAGUGGGGAAUUUUGGACAAUGGGCGCAAGCCUGAUCCAGCAAUGCCGCGUGAGUGAAGAAGGCCUUCGGGUUGUAAAGCUCUUUUGUCAGGGAAGAAACGGUKVRAGCUAAUAUCUYBBRCUAAUGACGGUACCUGAAGAAUAAGCACCGGCUAACUACGUGCCAGCAGCCGCGGUAAUACGUAGGGUGCAAGCGUUAAUCGGAAUUACUGGGCGUAAAGCGUGCGCAGGCGGUUUUGUAAGUCUGUCGUGAAAUCCCCGGGCUCAACCUGGGAAUUGCGAUGGAGACUGCAAGGCUAGAAUCUGGCAGAGGGGGGUAGAAUUCCACGUGUAGCAGUGAAAUGCGUAGAGAUGUGGAGGAAC